UCCCCGUUUCACAGGGCAGUCUGAUCAGAGUGCUCGGCCAAAGGCCGGUGGCAACAGAUCACAAGGGUUGCGCUCGUUGCGGGACUUAACCCAACAUCUCACGACACGAGCUGACGACAGCCAUGCAGCACCUGUGCAAAUUGUCCCUUGCGGGACUCGACGGCUUUCACCGCCUUAGAGAUGCAUGUCAAGCCUAGGUAAGGUUCUUCGCGUUGCAUCGAAUUAAGCCACAUACUCCACCGCUUGUGCGGGCCCCCGUCAAUUUCUUUGAGUUUUAAUCUUGCGACCGUACUCCCCAGGCGGCAUGUUUAACGCGUUAGCUCCGGCACGGAAGGGGUCGAUUCCUCCCACACCAAACAUGCACCGUUUACUGCCAGGACUAC
This 383-nucleotide unclassified non-coding RNA is filed under the name uncultured Chthoniobacteraceae bacterium. Its description in RNAcentral is "contains 16S-23S intergenic spacer region". Lineage: Bacteria; Pseudomonadati; Verrucomicrobiota; Spartobacteria; Chthoniobacterales; Chthoniobacteraceae. The record is from RNAcentral.